CCAGACAGCCAGGAUGUUGGCUUAGAAGCAGCCAUCAUUUAAAGAAAGCGUAAUAGCUCACUGGUCGAGUCGGCCUGCGCGGAAGAUGUAACGGGGCUAAACCAUGCACCGAAGCUGCGGCAGCGACGCUGUGCGUUGUUGGGUAGGGGAGCGUUCUGUAAGCCUGUGAAGGUGGCCUGUGAGGGUUGCUGGAGGUAUCAGAAGUGCGAAUGCUGACAUAAGUAACGAUAAAGCGGGUGAAAAGCCCGCUCGCCGGAAGACCAAGGGUUCCUGUCCAACGUUAAUCGGGGCAGGGUGAGUCGACCCCUAAGGCGAGGCCGAAAGGCGUAGUCGAUGGGAAACGGGUUAAUAUUCCCGUACUUGGUGUUACUGCGAAGGGGGGACGGAGAAGGCUAUGUUGGCCGGGCGACGGUUGUCCCGGUUUAAGCGUGUAGGCUGGUUUUCCAGGCAAAUCCGGAAAAUCAAGGCUGAGGCGUGACGACGAGGCACUACGGUGCUGAAGCAACAAAUGCCCUGCUUCCAGGAAAAGCCUCUAAGCAUCAGGUAACACGAAAUCGUACCCCAAACCGACACAGGUGGUCAGGUAGAGAAUACCAAGGCGCUUGA
This 606-nucleotide ribosomal RNA is filed under the name Salmonella enterica subsp. enterica serovar Senftenberg. RNAcentral's name for it is "partial 23S ribosomal RNA". It matches the Rfam family "Bacterial large subunit ribosomal RNA", at positions 1085 to 1693 of the family's 2925-position model. Lineage: Bacteria; Pseudomonadati; Pseudomonadota; Gammaproteobacteria; Enterobacterales; Enterobacteriaceae. The record is from RNAcentral.